AGCGAACGCUGGCGGCAGGCUUAACACAUGCAAGUCGAGCGGGCGUAGCAAUACGCCAGCGGCAGACGGGUGAGUAACGCGUGGGAACAUACCUUUUGGUUCGGAACAACACAGGGAAACUUGUGCUAAUACCGGAUAAGCCCUUACGGGGAAAGAUUUAUCGCCGAAAGAUUGGCCCGCGUCUGAUUAGCUAGUUGGUGAGGUAAUGGCUCACCAAGGCGACGAUCAGUAGCUGGUCUGAGAGGAUGAUCAGCCACAUUGGGACUGAGACACGGCCCAAACUCCUACGGGAGGCAGCAGUGGGGAAUAUUGGACAAUGGGCGCAAGCCUGGUCCAGCCAUGCCGCGUGAGUGAAGAAGGCCU
RNAcentral lists this ribosomal RNA (363 nucleotides) under uncultured bacterium. RNAcentral describes it as "bacterial SSU rRNA". It matches the Rfam family "Bacterial small subunit ribosomal RNA", at positions 29 to 417 of the family's 1533-position model. The record is from RNAcentral.